RNAcentral lists this transfer RNA (74 nucleotides) under Methanobacteriota archaeon. Its description in RNAcentral is "Euryarchaeota archaeon (marine sediment metagenome) tRNA-Val". It matches the Rfam family "tRNA". From Rfam's summary of the family: Transfer RNA (tRNA) molecules are approximately 80 nucleotides in length. Their secondary structure includes four short double-helical elements and three loops (D, anti-codon, and T loops). The record is from RNAcentral. RNAcentral also lists the same sequence under 1 other name. Lineage: Archaea; Methanobacteriati; Methanobacteriota.
GGGCGGGUGGUCUAGUUGGUUAUGACGGCGGUCUCACACACCGCAGGUCGAGAGUUCGAAUCUCUCCUCGCCCA